RNAcentral lists this ribosomal RNA (253 nucleotides) under uncultured bacterium. RNAcentral's name for it is "partial 16S ribosomal RNA". It matches the Rfam family "Bacterial small subunit ribosomal RNA", at positions 524 to 776 of the family's 1533-position model. The record is from RNAcentral.
UACAGAGGUCCCAAGCGUUGUUCGGAUUCACUGGGCGUAAAGGGUGCGCAGGUGGGUUUGCAAGUUCGAUGUGAAAGCCCCGGGCUUAACCCGGGAAUGGCAUUGGAUACUGCAGAUCUGGAGGAUCGGAGGGGGGACUGGAAUUCCUGGUGUAGCGGUGAAAUGCGCAGAUAUCAGGAGGAACACCGGUGGCGAAGGCGGGUCUCUGGGCCGAUACUGACGCUGAGGAGCGAAAGCGUGGGGAGCGAACAGG